Molecule: long non-coding RNA, 3012 nt
Filed under: Panax ginseng (ginseng)
Lineage: Eukaryota; Viridiplantae; Streptophyta; Magnoliopsida; Apiales; Araliaceae
Description: long non-coding RNA (PGIN_LNC003053)
Source: RNAcentral
GAAGAUCGUGAAAGAGAAAUAAGAAAACGGGAAAAACCGUGAGGGAGGGAGAGAGAAGGGGAGUGGAAGCCAUGGAAGAAGGAAGGGAGGAGAAGAAGGAAGAGAAAUCCUAAUUAGCAAAACAAUCUCCUACAAAUCUCCCUAACCAUCUUCUCCAUUCUCCUCCAUCAAAAUCUCCAAGAAAGCAAGGGAGAAAAGAAAUGGGUUUGAAGAUUUAAGCAUGGAUAAGGCUACGGGAGAACUCAAGGAGGAAGAAAAUCUAAUUCUAGCAAGAUCUAGAUCAUCAUCUAGCAUCUAAAGGAAGAAUCAAAGAAGUAUGUUCUUGAAAUUUUAAAUUUAUAUUUUCCUUCUUAAAUCUUCAGAUAUAUUAAGUAAAUGUGUAUGUAAAUUGUUGAUUAUUGGAUAUGUUGUGAUUCUAUGAGUUAUGAGUCCAUAGAAUCUAAAAUGAACUGAUUUGGGUGUGUAAAACUUGAUUUAUGAAGAUUUGAAGGAUAAAGAGUUCAAAAUUUUCGGGAAGAACGAAUUUUAGAAAAGUUAAUAGACUGCUGUCCCUAAAAGGAAAAUUCGGGAUUUGUUAAGUUGUUCAGAAAAUUCUGGGCUUUUGGUAUGUUAUAGUACACUGAAUAAGCUUUCCAUAGACUCCAAAACGGACUAAUUCCGACUCCGGAGGAGGUAGUUAUGACGUUCGGAAGAGGCAUAAUCAAAACUGUCCAACCAAAUUCCGAACAGUCUCCUUUUAAAAAUAUUUUGGACUGAUGUGUUCGGAUUUUGGAAAAACACCAUUAGAUAAAGGUUGUAGCCCUAGAAGAUAGCUUCGCGUGGGCUCAAGAAUCGCUCAAAAAUGUUUUAAAACGGGAGAGUUAUGACUGUUUUAGCGAGACAGGGUAAAAUCUAGAAAUAUCAAACUACAAACUGUCCAAAUAUUUGCAGGGGCAUUUUCGGCCAUUUGAUUAUUGAAAUAAAAUCAGGCCUUUUGUGACAUGAAAAUAUAUAAUAUAAGGUAGGUCCUGUCCAAAGAUGAGAUUAUUUCGACUUAAAUCGAUCGAGUUAUGGCCAUUUCAAUUUUUGGGAUUUUUCUACGAAAAUGACUAUAACCGAAGUUCUAUAACUCCGAUGGCCACGAAAUUUAAAUUAGAAGUUCACGUUAGUACGUGUAAAGUUCUGCCAAGAGUUGGGAAUUUUCGGAGUUGAGCAUGAUGUAGCUAAUUUUCUUAAGUUACAAACUAAAAACGGACUUUCGAAAAAUAAUAAAUGAAUUUUAAAAUUCAAGGAAAAAUAUAUUUUCAUAAGGGGAUCAUAUACUAUUGAUUUCUAGAAAAGAAAUAUUUUUUAGAAUUGAUUUGAUAUUUUUCAUCUAAAUAAUGAUAAAUGGAUAACCGGAUUUAAUUAAAUUUAUGAUGUCCAAAAAUAUGAAAAAAAAAACGAUUUAUGACUUGAGACCCUUGAGCAUGGCUUAUGCAGAUUUUUGUUGAAGUUUUGGGUCGACUGUGAAGUAUUGUGAUGUUUAUGACAUUUUAGAAUGAUUAAAUGUAUUAUUUGGUAAAGUGUAAACAAUUAAAAUAAAUUAUUUAUAAGUUUAGUAAAUGAUUAAAAUAUUGUUAUAAUAUUAAUAAUAUUAGGUUAUGAGAUUAUUGAGUGAUUAAUAACAUUUGAAUUAAAGUGUUAUGAAAUCAUUGAUUUAAAAUAUUAUUUAAUGAUUAAUAAUACUAGUAAAUGAAUUUAAUGUUAUUAAAUGGAGUUUAAAAGAGGAGUUAAGUUAAUUUGACAUUCAAUAGGUCAUAUUGAAUGUAUAGUAUAAUGAUUUGGAAAUUUGAUAUAUUGAGAACGAAAACAGCUUGCUGAAUUAGAGAAAACAGCUUGGUGAAUUAGAGAAAACAGCUAGUUGAAUUAGAGAAAACAACUUGCUGAAUUAGAGAAAAUAGUGUGCUGAAUUAUAAACAGUUUGCUGGAUUGUAAAUUAGUUUGAUGUCAGGUUGCUGGAAUUGAAGAAUAGUUUCAGUACAGGUUGCUGGAUUGUUAUAUUUAAAUAAUCCAGAUUAUAAUAUUAGUAUUUGUUCUACUGGAUUAUAGAAAGGAGCUUAUGAAAUGAAAAAGCGAGUGUUAAAUCAUAAUGGAUAUGAUAUAGUGAUUAAAGAAUUAUCUAAGGAUGAUAAUAUUGCUAAUGUGUUAAGAUGUUAUCUAAUAUUUGAUUAAGUGUUAGAUAAUUGAUUGAUAAAGUAAUUGUAUUAUGAUACAAAGUAGAAUAUGCUGAUUGAAAGACCAAUCUUAUUAAUGAUAGGUCUUACCAAAAGAAGUUAACUUAAAUUGCGUAGCAGUAGUCAACGAAUCAGGCAAGUUUCCUUAACUCAAACUCGAGUUAUAUUUCAAAGUAUGUUAGUGAAUGAUUACUGAUGAUUAUUCAUGUCUAAACUGAUUAUUGAUUCGCACUUAGUGCAUGUUGCAUAUGUUCAUCAGGUAUGAAAGGCUGAUCACCUUCAUUACGAUAAGGUUCAGUUAAAUUGUUUAUGGUCGCUGUUGACCUUCAAACAUUAUUGAUUCAGUCAUGAAAUUAUUGAAACUUGAUUCAUGUUAUUUCACAAUUAAUUAUAUAUUGUUGAAAACUUGAAAGCUUAUUCAUUCUUUUCAAUCAUGAUAUAUCUUCAUUGUAUUUAAAACUUGCUGGGUAAAUUUGUUGCUCACCCUUGCUAUAUCAUGAUAAAAUUUUCAGAUUUAUGUGAAAGCUCGAAUAAAGACAGAAGCAAAGUCAAAGUGCAAGAUUAAAUUAUGUUGCAGUUAGAUCCAUUAAAUUUUCUUACGAAAAUAGCACUGUAAAUCUUCUAAGAUAUUGAAGGUAUGUAUUAAGUUAAGGUUGUAGACCUUGGGAAUGAUGUGUAAAAGUUUAGUAUAUAAACAAUUUAUGUUUAUAUCUUCCGCAAUAGUUAUAGAAUUAGUAUACCAGAUUCAUGGUAAAAAGUACCCGGAUUUGGGGACGUUACAGUCUAUCCCUACCCAAUUCAGAAUUAAUCACUUGAC